RNAcentral lists this ribosomal RNA (497 nucleotides) under uncultured bacterium. RNAcentral's name for it is "partial 16S ribosomal RNA". It matches the Rfam family "Bacterial small subunit ribosomal RNA", at positions 28 to 507 of the family's 1533-position model. The record is from RNAcentral.
GAUGAACGCUGGCGGCGUGCCUAAUACAUGCAAGUCGAGCGAACAGACGAGGAGCUUGCUCCUCUGACGUUAGCGGCGGACGGGUGAGUAACACGUGGAUAACCUACCUAUAAGACUGGGAUAACUUCGGGAAACCGGAGCUAAUACCGGAUAAUAUAUUGAACCGCAUGGUUCAAUAGUGAAAGACGGUUUUGCUGUCACUUAUAGAUGGAUCCGCGCCGCAUUAGCUAGUUGGUAAGGUAACGGCUUACCAAGGCAACGAUGCGUAGCCGACCUGAGAGGGUGAUCGCCCACACUGGAACUGAGACACGGUCCAGACUCCUACGGGAGGCAGCAGUGGGGAAUCUUCCGCAAUGGGCGAAAGCUUGACGGAGCAACGCCGCGUGAGUGAUGAAGGUCUUCGGAUCGUAAAACUCUGUUAUUAGGGAAGAACAAAUGUGUAAGUAACUAUGCACGUCUUGACGGUACCUAAUCAGAAAGCCACGGCUAACUACGUG